Molecule: long non-coding RNA, 260 nt
Filed under: Salvia miltiorrhiza (redroot sage)
Lineage: Eukaryota; Viridiplantae; Streptophyta; Magnoliopsida; Lamiales; Lamiaceae
Description: long non-coding RNA (SMIL_LNC001724)
Source: RNAcentral
UUUUUUUUUUUUUGCAACUAUUUUUGUAGGACAAUGAGGAUGAAUAUAAGAGAUAUAUGAAAGGAUGAAGAAAAUAAAAGAUAGAGUUUGGAUCAAUACCAGAUUGCUCUGAUAACCAAAUGAUAUGGAUAGAAGUGGACGAAGGACCCGUUGGAUAUAAUGACCCAAGAACCCGACGUAUGUGAGUAGGCAGCGGACUCCCUAGAUCGUGAAUCUAGUUUGAUCAACCCCUAAGAGCGUAGAAACCUCGACCCGUUGGC